AGCGAACGCUGGCGGCGUGCCUAAUACAUGCAAGUCGAGCGGACCGGGAAAGACGCAAGGAUUUCCCGGUUAGCGGCGAACGGGUGAGUAACGCGUAGGUAAUCUGCCCUGAGGAGUGGGAUAACAUCCCCAACGGGAUGCUAAUACCACAUAACUUUCCCCUGACCGAAGUUGGGGGAAAUAAAGGAUGGCUUCUGCAUAGCAAGCUGUCGCCUCAGGAGGAGCCUGCGUCCUAUCAGCUAGUUGGUAGGGUAAAGGCCUACCAAGGCUAAGACGGGUAGCCGGUCUGAGAGGAUGGUCGGCCACACGGGGACUGAGACACGGCCCCGACUCCUACGGGAGGCAGCAGUAGGGAAUAUUGCGCAAUGGGCGAAAGCCUGACGCAGCGACGCCGCGUGGAGGAUGAAGUCCUUCGGGAUGUAAACUCCUUUUGGAGGGGACUAAACGACUAAUGGCUAAUACCCAUUAGUCCUGACGGUACCCUCCGAAUAAGCCCCGGCUAACUACGUGCCAACAGCCGCGGUAAAACGU
Molecule: ribosomal RNA, 531 nt
Filed under: uncultured bacterium
Lineage: Bacteria
Description: bacterial SSU rRNA
Rfam family: Bacterial small subunit ribosomal RNA
Source: RNAcentral